Molecule: ribosomal RNA, 378 nt
Filed under: uncultured bacterium
Lineage: Bacteria
Description: bacterial SSU rRNA
Rfam family: Bacterial small subunit ribosomal RNA
Source: RNAcentral
UAACACGUAGGGUGCGAGCGUUGUCCGGAAUUAUUGGGCGUAAAGGGCUCGUAGGCGGUCUGUUGCGUCGAAAGUGAAAUCCCGAUGCUCAACAUCGGGCCUGCUUUCGAUACGGGCAGACUAGAGGUAGGCAGGGGAGAAUGGAAUACCUGGUGUAGCGGUGGAAUGCGCAGAUAUCAGGUGGAACACCGGUGGCGAAGGCGGUUCUCUGGGCCUUACCUGACGCUGAGGAGCGAAAGCGUGGGGAGCGAACAGGAUUAGAUACCCUGGUAGUCCACGCCGUAAACGUUGGGCGCUAGGUGUGGGGGGUUUUCCAUGCCCUCCGUGCCGCAGCUAACGCAUUAAGCGCCCCGCCUGGGGAGUACGGUCGCAAGACUA